This 487-nucleotide ribosomal RNA is filed under the name uncultured bacterium. RNAcentral describes it as "bacterial SSU rRNA". It matches the Rfam family "Bacterial small subunit ribosomal RNA", at positions 28 to 517 of the family's 1533-position model. The record is from RNAcentral.
GAUGAACGCUAGCGGCAGGCUUAACACAUGCAAGUCGAGGGGUUUUGGUUUUCGGACCAAGAGACCGGCGCACGGGUGCGUAACGCGUAUGCAAUCUACCUUUUGCAGAGGGAUAGCCCAGAGAAAUUUGGAUUAAUACCUCAUAGUAUAGUACUUUGGCAUCAAGGAACUAUUAAAGUCACAACGGCAAAAGAUGAGCAUGCGUCCCAUUAGCUAGUUGGUAAGGUAACGGCUUACCAAGGCUACGAUGGGUAGGGGUCCUGAGAGGGAGAUCCCCCACACUGGUACUGAGACACGGACCAGACUCCUACGGGAGGCAGCAGUGAGGAAUAUUGGACAAUGGGCGCAAGCCUGAUCCAGCCAUGCCGCGUGCAGGAUGACGGUCCUAUGGAUUGUAAACUGCUUUAUACAGGAAGAAACACUACUUCGUGAAGUAGCUUGACGGUACUGUAAGAAUAAGGAUCGGCUAACUCCGUGCCAGCAGCCG